UACGAAGGGGGCUAGCGUUGUUCGGAAUUACUGGGCGUAAAGGGCGCGUAGGCGGCCCGUUCAGUCAGAUGUGAAAGCCCCGGGCUCAACCUGGGAACAGCAUUUGAUACUGGCGGGCUUGAGUUCAGGAGAGGAUGGUGGAAUUCCCAGUGUAGAGGGGAAAUUCGUAGAUAUUGGGAAGAACACCAGUGGCGAAGGCGGCCAUCUGGACGGACACUGACGCUGAGGCGCGAAAGCGUGGGGAGCAAACAGG
This 253-nucleotide ribosomal RNA is filed under the name uncultured bacterium. Its description in RNAcentral is "partial 16S ribosomal RNA". It matches the Rfam family "Bacterial small subunit ribosomal RNA", at positions 524 to 776 of the family's 1533-position model. The record is from RNAcentral.